AGCUCCAAUAGCGUAUAUUAAAGUUGUUGCAGUUAAAAAGCUCGUAGUCGAAGUUCUGGCUGGCAGCCGGGCUGGCUUCGGUCGCCCGGAGGCCUAGUCAUCCGCCGGAGAACCCAUGUCGUCCUUCACUGGUCGCUUGGGGGAACCGGCCCUUUACUUUGAAAAAAUUAGAGUGUUUAAGGCAGGCUAUCGCCCGAAUACUCCAGCAUGGAAUAAUGGAAUAGGACUUUGUUCUAUUUUGUUGGUUAUUAGAAUGAAGUAAUGAUUAAUAGGGACAGUUGGGGGCAUUCGUACUUAAUUGUCAGAGGUGAAAUUCUUGGAUUUAUUAAAGACGAACUAAUGCGAAAGCAUUUGCCAAGGAUGUUUUCA
RNAcentral lists this ribosomal RNA (369 nucleotides) under uncultured eukaryote. Its description in RNAcentral is "SSU rRNA". It matches the Rfam family "Eukaryotic small subunit ribosomal RNA", at positions 587 to 972 of the family's 1831-position model. The record is from RNAcentral.